This 24-nucleotide non-coding RNA is filed under the name Arabidopsis thaliana (thale cress). The record is from RNAcentral. Lineage: Eukaryota; Viridiplantae; Streptophyta; Magnoliopsida; Brassicales; Brassicaceae.
GAUUAAAGUCGGCAAGCAAAUGAA